ACAAAGGAUUUUUUCAUUUAGAAAAAAAUCCAUAAACAUUUUAAUAAACACAUUG
This is a non-coding RNA of Megaselia scalaris, 55 nucleotides long. Lineage: Eukaryota; Metazoa; Arthropoda; Insecta; Diptera; Phoridae. The record is from Rfam.